UUCCAGACUCCUACGGGAGGCAGCAGUGGGGAAUAUUGCGCAAUGGGCGAAAGCCUGACGCGGCGACGCCGCGUGAGGGAUGAAGGUCUUCGGAUCGUAAACCUCUGUCAGCAGGGAAGAACGGUCACUGUGCUAAUCAGCAGUGAAUUGACGGUACCUGCAAAGGAAGCACCGGCUAACUCCGUGCCAGCAGCCGCGGUAAUACGGAGGGUGCGAGCGUUAUCCGGAUUUAUUGGGUUUAAAGGGUGCGUAGGCGGACAGUCAAGUCAGCGGUAAAAAUGCGGUGCUCAACGCCGUACAGCCGUUGAAACUGGCAGUCUUGAGUGGGCGAGAAGUAUGCGGAAUGCGUGGUGUAGCGGUGAAAUGCAUAGAUAUCACGCAGAACUCCGAUUGCGAAGGCAGCAUACCGGCGCCCUACUGACGCUGAGGCACGAAAGCGUGGGUAUCGAACAGGAUUAGAUACCCGCGUAAC
Molecule: ribosomal RNA, 472 nt
Filed under: uncultured bacterium
Lineage: Bacteria
Description: partial 16S ribosomal RNA
Rfam family: Bacterial small subunit ribosomal RNA
Source: RNAcentral